RNAcentral lists this ribosomal RNA (1420 nucleotides) under Myersiohyla liliae. Its description in RNAcentral is "partial 16S ribosomal RNA". It matches the Rfam family "Bacterial large subunit ribosomal RNA", at positions 157 to 2597 of the family's 2925-position model. Lineage: Eukaryota; Metazoa; Chordata; Amphibia; Anura; Hylidae. The record is from RNAcentral.
GCUAAAAACAUAGCCCAACCCCCCCCAUGAACCUUAAAAUUAUACCCCUUUAACUAAAACAUUUUACCAACCUAGUAGAGGCGAUCGAAAAUUUUAUUGGAGCAAUAAAUACUGUACCGCAAGGGAAAAAUGAAAUAAAAAUGAAAUAAACGAUUAAGCACAAAUAAGUAGAGAUCCCCCCUCGUACCUUUUGCAUCAUGGUUUAACUAGUCACAACCAGGCAAAAAGACUUUCAGUUUGGUCCCCCGAAACUAGACGAGCUACUUCGAGGCAGCCUUUGGGCUAACCCGUCUCUGUCGCAAAAGAGUGGGAAGACCUCCAAGUAGGGGUGACAGACCUAACGAGCCUAGUGAUAGCUGGUUUCCCAAGAAAAGAAUCAUAGUUCAACCUAAAGUUAGUUUAGCCUAAUAAAGCAAACCCUAUUCUUUAGAGCUAUUCAAAUAAGGUACAGCCUAUUUGAAACAGGACACAACCUACACCAACGGGUAAUUUCCCGACCUAAUAAAUAAGUGGGCCUAAGAGCAGCCACCUUUAAAAUAGCGUCAAAGCUUACUUUAUACAGUCCCCAAUCCCUCAACCCAAUAAAAACCCUUCAUCACUACUGGGUACCUCUAUGCCUUCUCAUAGAACUUAUUAUGUUAGAACUAGUAACAAGAAGUUAGCCCUUCUCUUAAAUGCAAGUGUACAUCAGAAUGGACCAACCACUGCUAAUUAACAUGCUUGAAAACAAAUUAGCAUCUUCGCUAGAAAACCCUACUUAACCCCAUGUUAACCUAACACAAGCGCAUUACAAGAAAGAUUAAAAGGAAAAGAAGGAACUCGGCAAACAUUAGCCUCGCCUGUUUACCAAAAACAUCGCCUCUUGCAUCUUAUAAGAGGUCCAGCCUGCCCAGUGACAUGUUCAACGGCCGCGGUAUUCUGACCGCGUGAAGGUAGCGUAAUCACUUGUUCUUUAAAUAAGGACUAGUAUGAACGGCAUCACGAAGGCUACACUGUCUCCUUUUUUCAAUCAGUGAAACUAAUCUCCCCGUGAAGAAGCGGGCAUGAUAAUAUAAGACGAGAAGACCCUAUGGAGCUUAAAACAACUAACAAUUGCUUUUCACCUCACUAUCUCAGCAUAAUAACCUUUAACCUAGCAAUUUGAUUACGCGUUUUCGGUUGGGGCGACCGCGGGGGAAAAAACAACCCCCACAUUGAACGGAACUAAACCCUGAGCAAAAAGCAACAACUUUAUGCACCAACACAUUGACACUCCUUGACCCAAUACUUUGAUCAAUGAACCAAGUUACCCUAGGGAUAACAGCGCAAUCCGCCUCAAGAGCCCCUAUCGACAGGCGGGUUUACGACCUCGAUGUUGGAUCAGGGUAUCCUAGUGGCGCAGCCGUUACUAAAGGUUCGUUUGUUCAACGAUUAAAACCCU